CUCAUCCCAAGGAGCUUGAGCCCCGCUCACAACCUCUUCCAGCUGCAGGAGGUGAUGGAGACCCGGAGGAGGGAAAGGGGAGGUGAAGGAAGGAGAGUCACGGCGCCAGGCAAGGCCUGCCUGUAGGGGGCGCAGUGCCGGCCUUGCAGAUUUCAGGGCCCUCACCUGCAGGCGGGAGGAAGCUGGCAGCCAGGGACAAGGGACCCGGUACACUGCCAAACAGACAAGCCCCGUGGCCUGUCGUGAGGGACCCAGAAUGAGGUGGCCAGGGGACUCACCCAGCGGAAGUGUGCUCAGAGGGAAGAGAUAGAAAGAGUUCAGCCAAGUUCCCCAGACUGCCCUGCAGAGAUGCUUCCACUGAGGAUGUGAACACUGCAGUGUGUGUGUGUGUGUGUGUGUGUGUGUGUCCAGAAACAAGAAAGGGACAAUAUAGCCCCCCUUCAAAUAGAGACCACUCUGCCACAACCUCCAGCCUCACCUCCACUACAGGGAUGCAGGGGGAGGUGUGCUCAUCGGCCGACAGGGAAGCCCCCGUCCACGCGCUUGCCCCCCCGCCCCGGGGCUGACUCCCCCCAAAGACCAGGCUGGGGAGAGAAAACUUCAGGCAGAAGCACAGCCCACCUCCUCUGAGCGCCCAAUGCCCAGCCUGGGAUGUGGCUGAGCGUCAGUCUCCUGCUGUCAGCCACGGCCAGCGCCCCCUGCUGCCCAUCCUGAGCGGUACACACUCAGAGAGCACGGAGGAGAGGGAGAAAGCAGGGAAUCCAGGCAUGAAGCUGACUUGGCCAGGAGGAUGGGAGGGGAGGCAGAGAGUUAUUGAGUACCUGCCAGCUGCCCAAUACAGGACAAAAGGAGGAGCUAGAGAUGAGUCACAUGCUUGGAAUCCAGCCAGGAUGGAACCAGGCAGGACCCUGUGAAGCCCUCCCAAGGACAAGAGCUUUUCCACGUCCCCCCCCGCUUUUUUAAAUUUUUUUAUAUGUAAUUCAUUUUUAUUAUGGUUGAUUUACAAUGUUCUGACAAUUUCUGCUGUACAGCAAAGAGACCCC
Molecule: long non-coding RNA, 1043 nt
Filed under: Sus scrofa (pig)
Lineage: Eukaryota; Metazoa; Chordata; Mammalia; Artiodactyla; Suidae
Description: lncRNA (ENSSSCG00015018867.1)
Source: RNAcentral